RNAcentral lists this ribosomal RNA (460 nucleotides) under uncultured bacterium. Its description in RNAcentral is "SSU rRNA". It matches the Rfam family "Bacterial small subunit ribosomal RNA", at positions 26 to 518 of the family's 1533-position model. The record is from RNAcentral.
AGAAUCAACGCUGGCGGCGUGCCUAACACAUGCAAGUCGAACGAGAAAGUGGAGCAAUCCACGAGUAAAGUGGCGCACGGGUGAGUAACACGUGACUAACCUACCCUUGAGUGGGGGAUAACCUAGGGAAACCUGGGCUAAUACCGCAUAAUACCUACGGGUCAAAGGAGCAAUUCGCUUAAGCGAGGGGGUCGCGGCCGAUUAGUUAGUUGGCGGGGUAAUGGCCCACCAAGACGAUGAUCGGUAUCCGGCCUGAGAGGGCGCACGGACACACUGGAACUGAAACACGGUCCAGACUCCUACGGGAGGCAGCAGUGGGGAAUUUUGCGCAAUGGGGGAAACCCUGACGCAGCAACGCCGCGUGGAGGAUGAAGUCCCUUGGGAUGUAAACUCCUUUCGAUCGGGACGAUUAUGACGGUACCGGAAGAGAAGCCCCGGCUAACUUCGCGCCAGCAGCCGC